Molecule: long non-coding RNA, 182 nt
Organism: Phyllostomus discolor (pale spear-nosed bat)
Lineage: Eukaryota; Metazoa; Chordata; Mammalia; Chiroptera; Phyllostomidae
Exons: 3
Source: RefSeq, a predicted model, not a curated record
AUCUAAAGAAAAUACACUGCCCUGGCUGGGUAGGACAGUUGGUAAGAGUUUCGUCCCCAUAUGUCAAGGUUGAGGGUUUGUUUUCUGUUCAGGGCACAUACAAGAGUCAACCAAUGAAUGUAUAACUAAGUGGAAUAACUAAUGAAUGUUUUUUCUCUCUCUCUCCCUUUCUCUCUCUCUCU